UCUAAUAUGGCAGAUAAGUGCAAUGGAUUUAAGCUCCAUUUAUAAGGGUUUAUACCCUUUGUUAGAA
This 67-nucleotide transfer RNA is filed under the name Indonemoura auriformis. Its description in RNAcentral is "tRNA-Leu". It matches the Rfam family "tRNA". Rfam says of the family: Transfer RNA (tRNA) molecules are approximately 80 nucleotides in length. Lineage: Eukaryota; Metazoa; Arthropoda; Insecta; Plecoptera; Nemouridae. The record is from RNAcentral.